RNAcentral lists this ribosomal RNA (397 nucleotides) under uncultured bacterium. Its description in RNAcentral is "partial 16S ribosomal RNA". It matches the Rfam family "Bacterial small subunit ribosomal RNA", at positions 523 to 918 of the family's 1533-position model. The record is from RNAcentral.
AUACGUAGGGGGCGAGCGUUGUCCGGAAUGAUUGGGCGUAAAGGGCGCGUAGGCGGCGCGGUAAGUCUGGAGUGAAAGUCCUGCUUUCAAGGUGGGAAUUGCUUUGGAUACUGCCGCGCUUGAGUGCAGGAGAGGUUAUCGGAAUUCCCGGUGUAGCGGUGAAAUGCGUAGAGAUCGGGAGGAACACCAGUGGCGAAGGCGGGUAACUGGACUGCAACUGACGCUGAGGCGCGAAAGUGUGGGGAGCAAACAGGAUUAGAUACCCUGGUAGUCCACGCUGUAAACGAUGAAUGCUAAGUGUAAGAGGUAUCGACCCCUUUUGUGCCGGAGUCAACACAAUAAGCAUUCCGCCUGGGGAGUACGGCCGCAAGGUUGAAACUCAAAUGAAUUGACGGGG